AGAGCCGACAGAAUGGAUCUUGGAGGAGGGGGCCGUUGCCGGGCCUUCCGGGGAGCCACGUGUAGCCGUCCGCAACCUUCAGUCUCCUACCU
Camelus ferus (Wild Bactrian camel) is the source of this 92-nucleotide long non-coding RNA. It matches the Rfam family "ZNFX1 antisense RNA 1 conserved region 2". The record is from Rfam. NCBI's taxonomy places the organism in Eukaryota, Metazoa, Chordata, Mammalia, Artiodactyla, Camelidae.